AAGAAUGAAAAUGGUAACACAGAGUUCAGAGGUGCCAGAUAGCAGCAUGAUAUUUUUUGAGUAAGGAAACUGUAAAUAAGGGACUAAAAUAAUGAUUACUGCUGCUCCCCAGGAUGGAUUUUUUAUGCAUGAAAUCCUCGAGAUUCUGCUAUUUGUUGUAUUUCAUACUGUGUCCUUACUUCCAUCAGUGGUUGAAAAUGUUUGCAAAGACAGCAAGAAAUUUCAGCAGAGGAAAUGUAAGUAAUGUAAUAUGUAUUAAGAAAUAGACAUGUUUAAAAGCUUUACUAUUUUCCUCCCAUAUAUUUUCUUCAAAAUUUUGUGGGCUGUAGUGCAGUUAUGCGUAGCCUCUUUGUUUAAUCUUUUCUAUAUGAAUGCUUUCAGGUACAGGUUGUUCUACCGAGGAGUUACUAUGUUCUCUAGGCACAAUGAAUCCAGAUCAUAAUGUUUCCCAUUUAUGUCUUUGCAGUAUAAAAACAUGAUUUUACUGAAUGCAACUUCCUAGUCCACAGAGGUUCUGUGAGGUGGAGAUCCGAAAGCACAAGAAAAUCAACCAAACAGUAUUCUCAGGUUAAUCUCACUGCUGAAGUUCAUUUGAAGCUCUGUCUGAGAAAGAAUACAGGACUUUACACUAAGACUCCAUAGUUUGAGUAUAAUGCAGUACUAAGUCAGAUUUUAGACCACAUAACACAGUAGCUUUAUCCAAUUGCACUUCCGUCUAGGCAGGUCUCUGUGAUUCCUUAUUUAAUCUGCUUUCUUUUCCUUUUUUAAUGUUCCCAAGCCCCGAUUAAUGCAAAUAGUUAAUAUUUGAUAGCAUACCCCUGGGAACGCUGUUAGCUACAGGCCUCCAACUCGACUCUGUGCCACUAAUAAUCACAGCCCUCUGAGCUCUGCCAGUCUGCCAGUUCUGAAUCCACCUCAGUGUCCACUCACCUUUCCCACACUUUCUAAGCUUUCUUACAAUAAGUUUGUGGGAGGCAAUGUCAAAGGACUUGCAGAAGUCGAAGUACACAACAUCCCUUGUUCGCCCCUCAUCUACCUAGCCAGUGAUGACAUCACAGAAGGCUACCAGGUUAUUCAAGCAUGAUUUCCCCAUGCUGAAGCUACGCUGACCACUCCUGAUACCCUCUUCUAAUUGCUUGGAGAUGACAUCCAGAACAAACUGUUUCAUCACCUUUCCAAGGACAGAGCGUGAAGACAUCUUUGUCUGGACAGCCUUGUGAGAAUGCUCCUUCAGCUUUUCUUAACCAUCAGGAUAGCAAGGAAGGACAGAGCCACCAGCCAAGGCUCCUGCGCAUCUGUAUGGAGUCACAUACAUGUGAAAUGAUAUCCCAAGCUAUCUGAAUCUGACCCAAGACUUCACGCCUGCUUGUUUAGAUGUGUGUCUGGAUAUCACUGCAGAAAUGAUAGCUGUAAGAAUACUCGGAGUUGUGCACAAAAGGCCUUCAGUCUUCAGUAAAUGCAAUUUAGAGCAUCAAAGUCGGAAGAGCUCCUCGUGUUUUUAUGGCAGUUCUUUAAUGUAAAGUGUGACCUCUGUUCUUAUUUACUGUACACUUUCCAGCUCUCUCACAGAUACAUAGUGAUCAUCUGCAAUCAGCUCCAAACACAGACACAAGAGAACUUCUUUUAACGCCCCUCUCCUCUCGUUAUUUGCUGGGAGGUCAGUUCUCACCGACCUCUUUGCAGAGAACCAGCAAUCCUUCCAGUGAUCACAGGAGAAGGUCGCAGGCUGGAUGUUCAGAGGAGAAACGUGCCAAUAGGAACUGCCUGUAAAACAUAUGGCUUGGGUGGCAUAGCACCUUCCUGCAGGAUUCAGGUUCACAGAAUGGUUUGGGUUAGAAGGGAUCUUAAAGCCCAUCCACUUCCAACCCCCUGCUGUGGGCAGUGUUGCCACCCACCAGAUCAAGCUGCCCAGGGCCCCACCAGCUUGGCCUUGAACACCUUCAAGGGGCACGUCUGGGCAAACCUGACACAUGGUAUGUGGAACAAGUAUGCUUUCAGAGCAUGUGCUACAGGGACAGCCCAGCGCAGGGAAUACCCUGCCCAAAUUCUUUCUUGUUGAUGACCAUAGAAUCAUAGAAUGGCUUGGGUUGGAAGGGAUCCCAAGGAUCACCAAGUUCCAACCCCCCUGCCAUAGGCAGAGCCAAAUGAUGUGUAUGUUUUUCUCCCAGUGUAGUACUGACGAGAUAUUACAGCAUAAUGGACCAUUUGAGAGCUGAAAAAACACAGCUGUGAAAGGAACCCCUCUGCCUAGUAUUCCUUGGACUUCGAAUAACGUGAAAACUGCAGCAUUUGAAAUCCAUACUCGGGAAAUAUCUUGUAUCUUGUCAUACAUUCCAUAUCUGAACACUUUAGUAACCCCUACUUGAUCUUGUCACACAUGAUUUCCAUGCUCAAAAGAAUUUUAGAGAUUUGUUCAAGUUUUCAUAGUAAAUAAUUGAUUAGUCCCCCACUUGAUAUUUUUUUCCUCUAAAUUUCUUCUGGAGCAGCUGAAAAAAGAAAAAAACACUAAACAGCACUUCUUAAAAAGCAGCAAUCCUAUCAAUCUACUGCUGAAAGAUGGAAUACAUCCCUCAUUUUUGGUGGACUUUUCCACUGUUUUUGCAGCAGUGUUACAUUCCCAUCAUCAUAGGUUCUGUGCAAAGGCACUUGAGAUGAAAAAGUCAAAGAAAACAGAAUUGAGUAUGUCUUCCCAAAGAGUAGGGAUUAGGGAAGUCCGUAGGCUUCUUGUGUUAUUCUGCUGCUCUUUAGGGCUUGUACAUACUCUAAAGGGAAUAGGCUUGGGUUUCGUUGCCUCUGUAUACAAGACUCUGACUUGCUGAUGCUUGGCAGGGAAUGCUCCCCAGAUCCUUUCCUGAUAAGAACAGAGGGAAUGUGAGGUUACUGAUGAUAUCAUUUUAAAGAAACUGUGAGGAAAACAAAGCAAAAGUCUGUUCUGUUUUGAUUUUUCUUUGAAAAUUUAACAUGUUCAGUUGUUGUUGUUGUUGUUGUUUUAAAGUAAAAAUAUUUCCUCAGUUUUAAACAGUAAAAGCAAAGUGGACCCAGUGGCAUAAUACAUGGAGAUGUUCACUACCAGACUUCACAUAAUAUUAAAGCUAUAAACCUGUCUUUGCUUUAAUUAAACUACUAAAGCUGUUAAUCUUUUAACCAGAAGAAUUAUUGCUCUGAAGGGAAAUAAUGGAAGUGAACAGACAAAACCCAUGAUAAAUUAAAUCUCUCAUAUUUAAUUAUUUAGCAUGCCAUAAUAUUUAUGUGAAGCUCCUAAUUUUUACAAGCCUACGUGUCACAGGGCUAUAAUCUACGUCAGUGCUGGGAGAUCAGGUGCAGGACACUGCUGUCCUCUCCCUCCCUGUGCAGCCACAAGGAGACAGGACGCAGCCUCUCCUUUCUCGUUGACCCAAGGGUUGUCUUGGCUUUUCAGCUCUGCAUCACUGCAUCCAUCCUCCAGAAAGACUCCCCCACCUUGCAAUUUUGGAAUAAAAAGAUAGUUCAGGUUGCCAUGGAAACCUUAAUUCUGAUUUCCGUGGCUUGUUUGCUGGUGAAGAUUUCAAUCUUCAAAACUGCAUUAAUUUUUCAAAGUGUAAUAUUGAUAUAAAUGCAUUUCUUGUGCAGCGUCAAAAAUGUUUGCGGCUGACAUUGAGGGAAUGUAAUUUAGAGUACGCGUUUCGUGUGGUUGGAGAUGAAGAUUACAGAGGAGCUACAGAAACGACUUCUACACCUGUUUACCCUUGAUAAUUGCAGGGUAACAUCUUGAUUGCUUGAUAUAUUUUUAUGUAUCUGUGGAUAUUCUUACAUUUUCCAUCAAAACAAU
Gallus gallus (chicken) is the source of this 3808-nucleotide long non-coding RNA. RefSeq lists it as uncharacterized. NCBI's taxonomy places the organism in Eukaryota, Metazoa, Chordata, Aves, Galliformes, Phasianidae. The transcript has 4 exons. The record is from RefSeq and is a predicted model, not a curated record.